UACGUAGGGGGCAAGCGUUGUCCGGAUUUAUUGGGCGUAAAGAGCGUGUAGGCGGCCUGGAAGGUCAGCUGUGAAAACUCGAGGCUCAACCUCGAGACGUCGGUUGAAACCACCUGGCUAGAGUCCGGAAGAGGAGAGUGGAAUUCCCGGUGUAGCGGUGAAAUGCGCAGAUAUCAGGAGGAACACCGGUGGCGAAGGCGGUUCUCUGGGCAUGUCCUGACGCUGAGGAGCGAAAGUGUGGGGAGCGAACAGG
This 253-nucleotide ribosomal RNA is filed under the name uncultured bacterium. Its description in RNAcentral is "partial 16S ribosomal RNA". It matches the Rfam family "Bacterial small subunit ribosomal RNA", at positions 524 to 776 of the family's 1533-position model. The record is from RNAcentral.